GGAUUAGAUACCCUGGUAGUCCACGCCGUAAACGAUGGAUGCUAGGUGUCGGAGGAUUCACCCCUUCGGUGCCGAAGUUAACGCAUUAAGCAUCCCGCCUGGGGAGUACGGUCGCAAGAUUAAAACUCAAAGGAAUUGACGGGGGCCCGCACAAGCGGUGGAGUAUGUGGUUUAAUUCGACGCAACGCGCAGAACCUUACCCAGGCUUGACAUCCUCGGAACCUGAUGGAAACAUCGGGGUGUCCCCUCACGGGGAAGCCGAGUGACAGGUGCUGCAUGGCUGUCGUCAGCUCGUGCCG
RNAcentral lists this ribosomal RNA (299 nucleotides) under uncultured bacterium. RNAcentral describes it as "partial 16S ribosomal RNA". It matches the Rfam family "Bacterial small subunit ribosomal RNA", at positions 775 to 1067 of the family's 1533-position model. The record is from RNAcentral.